Molecule: ribosomal RNA, 185 nt
Filed under: Fusarium oxysporum
Lineage: Eukaryota; Fungi; Ascomycota; Sordariomycetes; Hypocreales; Nectriaceae
Description: partial 18S ribosomal RNA
Rfam family: Eukaryotic small subunit ribosomal RNA
Source: RNAcentral
CUUGUACACACCGCCCGUCGCUACUACCGAUUGAAUGGCUCAGUGAGGCGUCCGGACUGGCCCAGAGAGGUGGGCAACUACCACUCAGGGCCGGAAAGCUCUCCAAACUCGGUCAUUUAGAGGAAGUAAAAGUCGUAACAAGGUCUCCGUUGGUGAACCAGCGGAGGGAUCAUUACCGAGUUUAC